GAGAGAGAGAGAGAGAGAGAGAGAGAGACU
RNAcentral lists this non-coding RNA (30 nucleotides) under Arabidopsis thaliana (thale cress). Lineage: Eukaryota; Viridiplantae; Streptophyta; Magnoliopsida; Brassicales; Brassicaceae. RNAcentral also lists the same sequence under 1 other name. The record is from RNAcentral.